RNAcentral lists this ribosomal RNA (253 nucleotides) under uncultured bacterium. RNAcentral's name for it is "partial 16S ribosomal RNA". It matches the Rfam family "Bacterial small subunit ribosomal RNA", at positions 524 to 776 of the family's 1533-position model. The record is from RNAcentral.
UACGUAGGUGACAAGCGUUGUCCGGAUUUACUGGGCGUAAAGAGCGCGCAGGCGGUCGUUCAAGUCGAGUGUGAAAGCCCCCGGCUCAACUGGGGAGGGUCACUCGAUACUGAUCGACUUGAAGGCAGGAGAGGGUAGUGGAAUUCCCGGUGUAGUGGUGAAAUGCGUAGAUAUCGGGAGGAACACCAGUGGCGAAGGCGACUACCUGGCCUGUUCUUGACGCUGAGGCGCGAAAGCUAGGGGAGCAAACGGG